UAGGGAAUCUUCCGCAAUGGACGCAAGUCUGACGGAGCAACGCCGCGUGAGUGAAGAAGGAUUUCGGUUCGUAAAACUCUGUUGUUAGAGAAGAACAGCGCAUAGAGUAACUGUUAUGCGUGUGACGGUAUCUAACCAGAAAGCCACGGCUAACUACGUGCCAGCAGCCGCGGUAAUACGUAAGGUCCGAGCGUUGUCCGGAAUCAUUGGGCGUAAAGGGUACGUAGGCGGGUAAGCAAGUUAGAAGUGAAAUCCUGUAGCUCAACUACAGUAAGCUUUUAAAACUGCUCAUCUUGAGAUAAGGAAGGGAAAGUGGAAUUCCUAGUGUAGCGGUGAAAUGCGCAGAUAUUAGGAGGAAUACCGGUGGCGAAGGCGACUUUCUGGCCAUAAUCUGACGCUGAGGUACGAAAGCGUGGGUAGCAAACAGG
RNAcentral lists this ribosomal RNA (428 nucleotides) under Bacteroidota bacterium. Its description in RNAcentral is "Bacteroidetes bacterium partial 16S ribosomal RNA". It matches the Rfam family "Bacterial small subunit ribosomal RNA", at positions 355 to 776 of the family's 1533-position model. Lineage: Bacteria; Pseudomonadati; Bacteroidota. The record is from RNAcentral.